Molecule: ribosomal RNA, 303 nt
Filed under: uncultured bacterium
Lineage: Bacteria
Description: partial 16S ribosomal RNA
Rfam family: Bacterial small subunit ribosomal RNA
Source: RNAcentral
AGCAGUAGCCGCGGUAAUACGAAGGGUGCAAGCGUUAAUCGGAAUUACUGGGCGUAAAGCGUGCGUAGGCGGUUUGUUAAGUCUGUUGUGAAAUCCCCGGGCUCAACCUGGGAAUGGCAAUGGAUACUGGCAAGCUAGAGCGUGUCAGAGGAUGGUGGAAUUCCCGGUGUAGCGGUGAAAUGCGUAGAGAUCGGGAGGAACAUCAGUGGCGAAGGCGGCCAUCUGGGACAACACUGACGCUGAGGCACGAAAGCGUGGGGAGCAAACAGGAUUAGAUACCCCCGUAGUCCCUGUCUCUUAUAC